ACACAUGCAAGUCGAGGGGCAGCAUGGUCUUAGCUUGCUAAGGCCGAUGGCGACCGGCGCACGGGUGAGUAACACGUAUCCAACCUGCCGUCUACUCUUGGACAGCCUUCUGAAAGGAAGAUUAAUACAAGAUGGCAUCAUGAGUCCGCAUGUUCACAUGAUUAAAGGUAUUCCGGUAGACGAUGGGGAUGCGUUCCAUUAGAUAGUAGGCGGGGUAACGGCCCACCUAGUCUCCGAUGGAUAGGGGUUCUGAGAGGAAGGUCCCCCACAUUGGAACUGAGACACGGUCCAAACUCCUACGGGAGGCAGCAGUGAGGAAUAUUGGUCAAUGGGCGAGAGCCUGAACCAGCCAAGUAGCGUGAAGGAUGACUGCCCUAUGGGUUGUAAACUUCUUUUAUAAAGGAAUAAAGUCGGGUAUGGAUACCCGUUUGCAUGUACUUUAUGAAUAAGGAUCGGCUAACUCCGUGCCAGCAGCCGCGGUAAUACGGAGGAUCCGAGCGUUAUCCGGAUUUAUUGGGUUUAAAGGGAGCGUAGAUGGAUGUUUAAGUCAGUUGUGAAAGUUUGCGACUCAACCGUAAAAUUGCAGUUGAUACUGGAUAUCUUGAGUGCAGUUGAGGCAGGCGGAAUUCGUGGUGUAGCGGUGAAAUGCUUAGAUAUCACGAAGAACUCCGAUUGCGAAGGCA
Molecule: ribosomal RNA, 683 nt
Filed under: uncultured Bacteroidales bacterium
Lineage: Bacteria; Pseudomonadati; Bacteroidota; Bacteroidia; Bacteroidales
Description: bacterial SSU rRNA
Rfam family: Bacterial small subunit ribosomal RNA
Source: RNAcentral